CCUGGUAUAGUCGUGUUGGUCACCGUGGAAUUGUCUCAACACCGGGUGGAUGCUUGCUGACGGUGGAAGUUUUAGUCCAUGUAAAAAGUCUGUAAUUUUAGCAAAUCGGUGAGGGGAUCUGUGAGGGGAGCAGCAAGUAUGGCGUAAUAUUUAACAAACUUUCGAUAAAAACUAAUGAGGCCCAAAAAUCUCCGAAGUG
RNAcentral lists this long non-coding RNA (199 nucleotides) under Lupinus angustifolius (narrow-leaved blue lupine). RNAcentral's name for it is "long non-coding RNA (LANG_LNC000588)". Lineage: Eukaryota; Viridiplantae; Streptophyta; Magnoliopsida; Fabales; Fabaceae. The record is from RNAcentral.